RNAcentral lists this ribosomal RNA (253 nucleotides) under uncultured bacterium. RNAcentral describes it as "partial 16S ribosomal RNA". It matches the Rfam family "Bacterial small subunit ribosomal RNA", at positions 524 to 776 of the family's 1533-position model. The record is from RNAcentral.
UACGAAGGGGGCUAGCGUUGUUCGGAAUUACUGGGCGUAAAGCGCAUGUAGGCGGAUAUUUAAGUCAGGGGUGAAAUCCCAGAGCUCAACUCUGGAACUGCCUUUGAUACUGGGUAUCUUGAGUAUGGAAGAGGUGAGUGGAAUUCCGAGUGUAGAGGUGAAAUUCGUAGAUAUUCGGAGGAACACCAGUGGCGAAGGCGGCUCACUGGUCCAUUACUGACGCUGAGGUGCGAAAGCGUGGGGAGCAAACAGG